AUCUCCUGUGAGCCUCCAGAUUAGUACAGCUGUGGCAUUAGGUGACCUUUAUUUUUUCUUCUUUCUUACCCCACUAGUAUCUUGAGGAAGAUGCAUAAUAUGAGUAAAGUGACAGAAGUCCUAGAGACCAAGUGGGAUGCCCAGUCCCAGACUCAGCCCCAGAUCUGGUGCAGCAACCACACCCGGUCUACCCCACAUCACUCCCUGAGCAGCACGUCUCCACAGCUUGACAAGGAGGAAGUGCAUCCUUCAGUGACUGCAGUCAAUGCCAGCCCUGCCAUUUCUGCUGAUUCAGCUGCUUUGCCCAGCAACCAAGGAACCAGGUCUGCCCAGCCCUUCCAUCCUUCGAGCGGCACUGGCCCAGCAGAGCAGGACACUAGAACACGGUAGCAGUGGCCCAUGGGAAGAGAUGAGGCCUCAAAAAAUGAAUGCAUCUGG
Molecule: long non-coding RNA, 438 nt
Organism: Homo sapiens (human)
Lineage: Eukaryota; Metazoa; Chordata; Mammalia; Primates; Hominidae
Source: Ensembl